UCGACCUGAGGUCAGGCAAGAACACCCGCUGAACUUAAAGCAUAUCAAUA
This 50-nucleotide ribosomal RNA is filed under the name Trebouxia decolorans. RNAcentral's name for it is "partial 26S ribosomal RNA". The record is from RNAcentral. Lineage: Eukaryota; Viridiplantae; Chlorophyta; Trebouxiophyceae; Trebouxiales; Trebouxiaceae.